RNAcentral lists this long non-coding RNA (1487 nucleotides) under Triticum aestivum (bread wheat). Its description in RNAcentral is "long non-coding RNA (TAES_LNC000940)". The record is from RNAcentral. Lineage: Eukaryota; Viridiplantae; Streptophyta; Magnoliopsida; Poales; Poaceae.
UGCACUGUAUGUGUGCUGUCACCCAACAAUGGAGGUAAUUGUUAAGUUUGCAUUCCUGCAACUUCUUGUAUAUAUCUGGAAAGAAACUUCUUACUAUUUGCUGAGUUCACAUCCAAUGUAUCUUUGCUUUUUUUUCUUUUUCUUUUUGCAACACAAUGUAUCUUCACUUUUGAAAAACUGCAUUGGAUGUACCGACAUAAAUAUAUAAUAUAAUGAUGAUCUAAUGGCAAAUUAUAUGGCCAUAGGCAGUGAUGAUCAAUAAGAGGGCACAUGAAUUUAUCUUCUAACGUAUGCAUCACUAUUUGUUUAGCUCUCUGUCUUUAUUUUUCCGCCGGCAUUGUAUAGUUAAAAGUUAGGUUUCAUCUGGUUUAGUUAGUUAGGGGGAUCUUGUUGUGCUCUCUAUCUUUAUUUUUGUGGCCUCCGUUGUAUGGUUAAAAAGUUAGGUUUCAUCUGGUUUUAGUUAGUUAUAAGCGAAUCUCUUUAAGCUCUCUAUCUUUAUUUUUGCUGCCCCCGUUAUAUGGUUAAAAAGUUAGGUUUCAUCUGAUUUUAGUAAGUUAAGCAGAUCUCGUUAAGCUCUCUAUCUUUAUUUUUGCUGCCUCAUUGUAUGGUUAAAAAGUUGGGUUUCAUCUGAUUUUAGUUGGUUAUAAGCGGAUCUCGUUAAGGUGGUAAGAAGAACUCCAUAUUGUCCCGCCUCACAAUAACAGAACCUAUUAACCUCGUCAAAAUUGUAUCUCAUACUCAUACAUAUCAUUCAUUUUCGAAUAACAUGAAUUAUCAUAUCAGUACAUAUAUCAUCUGUCCAUAUGCACAAGAGAUAAUCAUCUGCCAGCUGAUUAUUCUUAUCGUUGAGAGCCGAUCCUGUCCCUUCAAUGUUAAUUAGAGGUGUCAUUAUAAAAGACAAGAAAAUAACCACUUGCCCCUGGGUCUUCUCUCGUCAGCAGAAACUUGCCCCCGGUGCUAGGGUUGAGGGACCCCUGGCGUCGCCCAGGGGGAGGCGGCGCGAGGGGAGGUGAGCUAGUUGCUCGUGCGCGGCCGCUGAUUUGCUGCAGGUUUUGUGAUAUUUGGACGUUCGAUGUACAUUGAGAUAUUGGAUUAACUUUGUUAUGCCUAUGAGAUUUGUACAUUGAGAUAUUGGAGGAACUACCACACAUUUGCAAAGCAGCCAUGGCUACUAGGAUCAUGGUUUUGCUUCUUCUCAUGCUCCUCUCAUUCUCAGAGUCCACCACCCCUUACCAGGUGUUAGAUUUCAACACGGCAACCCAGAGUACCGAGGAGCUUCACCAAGCUAUGGAGCGGGCGUUUUGGCUCCUCUCCUUCCGGCGGUUCAUCAGGCGAAGUGCAUAGGAAGGCCAAAUUUGUUGUUGCUGCAUGCUUCUGUGCUGAAGUGGACACGAAGCUAUGGAGCGGAAGCUGAUGUGCUGAAGCAUUCUCUCGUCGUCUUGUUGACUGCACUGGCAGACGGCCUGCAAGCUCGCUGCAUCCCGGAC